RNAcentral lists this ribosomal RNA (415 nucleotides) under uncultured bacterium. RNAcentral describes it as "bacterial SSU rRNA". It matches the Rfam family "Bacterial small subunit ribosomal RNA", at positions 355 to 794 of the family's 1533-position model. The record is from RNAcentral.
UUUCGAAUCAUUUACAAUGGGGGAAACCCUGAUAGUGCGACGCCGCGUGGGGGAUGAAGGUCCUUGGAUUGUAAACCCCUGUCACCGGAGAACGCUUAUCCGGAGAGGAAGCCGUGGCCAACUCUGUGCCAGCAGCCGCGGUAAUACAGAGACGGCGAGCGUUACUCGGAUUUACUGGGCGUAAAGGGUGCGUAGGUGGCCAAGUGUGUCGGGUGUGAAAUCUCGGAGCUCAACUCCGAAACUGCGCCCGAAACUACUUGGCUCGAGUUUCAGAGAGGGUAGUGGAAUUCCUGGUGUAGCGGUGAAAUGCGUAGAUAUCAGGAGGAAUACCAACGGCGAAGGCAGCUACCUGGAUGAAUACUGACACUGAGGCACGAAAGCGUGGGUAGCAAAAGGGAUUAGAUACCCGAGUAGU